RNAcentral lists this ribosomal RNA (20 nucleotides) under Eimeria maxima. RNAcentral's name for it is "partial 28S ribosomal RNA". RNAcentral also lists the same sequence under 3 other names. The record is from RNAcentral. Lineage: Eukaryota; Apicomplexa; Conoidasida; Eucoccidiorida; Eimeriidae.
UAGACCUGAAAUCAGUCGAG